UGACUCCCUGAGAGUCCUGAAGGAACGUUGAAGACGACGACGUUGAUAGGCCGGGUGUGUAAGCGCAGCGAUGCGUUGAGCUAACCGGUACUAAUGAACCGUGAGGCUUAACCUUACAACGCCGAAGGUGUUU
RNAcentral lists this ribosomal RNA (133 nucleotides) under Escherichia coli. RNAcentral describes it as "partial 23S ribosomal RNA". The stretch from base 1 to 115 matches the Rfam family "Bacterial large subunit ribosomal RNA", at positions 2808 to 2925 of the family's 2925-position model. Lineage: Bacteria; Pseudomonadati; Pseudomonadota; Gammaproteobacteria; Enterobacterales; Enterobacteriaceae. The record is from RNAcentral.